This 468-nucleotide ribosomal RNA is filed under the name uncultured bacterium. RNAcentral's name for it is "partial 16S ribosomal RNA". It matches the Rfam family "Bacterial small subunit ribosomal RNA", at positions 28 to 507 of the family's 1533-position model. The record is from RNAcentral.
GACGAACGCUGGCGGCGUGCUUAACACAUGCAAGUCGAACGGAAAGGCCCUGCUUUUGUGGGGUUCUCGAGUGGCGAACGGGUGAGUAACACGUGAGUAACCUGCCCUUGACUUUGGGAUAACUUCAGGAAACUGGGGCUAAUACCGGAUAGGAGCUCCUGCUGCAUGGGGGGGGUUGGAAAGUUUCGGCGGUUGGGGAUGGACUCGCGGCUUAUCAGCUUGUUGGUGGGGUAGUGGCUUACCAAGGCUUUGACGGGUAGCCGGCCUGGGAGGGUGACCGGCCACAUUGGGACUGAGAUACGGCCCAGAAUCCUACGGGAGGCAGCAGUGGGGAAUAUUGCACAAUGGGCGGAAGCCUGAUGCAGCAACGCCGCGUGCGGGAUGACGGCCUUCGGGUUGUAAACCGCUUUCGCCUGUGACGAAGCGUGAGUGACGGUAAUGGGUAAAGAAGCACCGGCUAACUACGUG